UCCGGCCCCGUGAGGCCCCCUCCCAGAGCUAGUUAAGGCGCAAACAACCCGGGGUGGGCAAUGCUUAACUCCGAGUGGUGUCAAAUGGACGCAGUUCCUUCCUGGCGACUAUGGGGAGCUUUUUCCAGAUGCCUCCCAUCGGGUCAGAGGGACCGAUCUAGGGGGCCCAAAGUCCAACGCCCCCGGGGGUGUCGCCGCGGGUGCAAGUUCUUCAGCCUGACGGAGACCCCCGAGGAUUACACGCUCAUGGUGGACGAGGAGGGCUUCAAAGAACUACCCCCAUCUGAGUUCCUUCAAGUGGCUGAGGCCACAUGGCUGGUGCUGAACGUGUCAUCCCACAGUGGAGCAGCAGUGCAGGCUGCUGGGGUCACCAAAAUCGCGCGCUCAGUCAUUGCACCACUGGCCGAGCACCAUGUGUCUGUGCUGAUGCUGUCUACUUACCAGACGGACUUCAUCCUGGUGCGGGAACAGGACCUGUCUGUGGUGAUCCACACGCUAUCCCAGGAGUUCAACAUUUACCGAGAAGUGGGCGGGGAGCCUGUGCCUGUUGCCAGGGAUGAUUCCAGCAAUGGCUUUCCCCGUUCUCAGCAUGCAGGGCCCAGCCCCACUGUGCAUCCCAUCCAGAGCCCACAGAACCGCUUCUGUGUCCUUACGCUGGACCCUGAGACACUGCCAGCCAUUGCUACCACCCUCAUCGAUGUUCUCUUCUACUCAUACAGUGCCCCCAAGGAGGCAGCCUCUGGUGGUCCUGGACCCAGCUCUAUUACAUUCUUUGCCUUCUCCCUCAUCGAGGGCUACAUCUCCAUCGUCAUGGAUGCUGAGACGCAGAAAAAGUUCCCCAGUGACCUCCUGCUGACCAGCUCCUCGGGGGAGCUGUGGAGGAUGGUGCGCAUCGGUGGACAGCCCCUGGGCUUUGAUGAGUGUGGAAUCGUGGCUCAGAUCGCAGGCCCCCUGGCUGCGGCCGACAUCUCUGCCUACUACAUCAGCACCUUCAACUUUGACCAUGCCCUGGUGCCUGAGGAUGGCAUCGGCAGCGCCAUUGAGGUCCUCCAACGACGGCAGGACGGCCAGGGCUCCUGAGGCCUCCAUUCUGUCCCCUCACCCCAGGCUUCCAGAGACUUCUCUAAGCUAUUUCCUCAAGCUCUGGGAUGAGUCCUCCCCACCCCCAUUCCUGCUGGGGGACCCCUCCUUCUGCUCUCUGUAUGUAAGCUGCGUGCAGGCACCGGCUCUCACGUGGACACGCGUGUCUGCCCACGCAGGGGAACACGGUGCUCUGGGCUUCCUCCAGGAAGCCCUCACCCCUCACUCCCUGCUCGGCCUCAGUGUUUGCACAUUCCCUGCCUGAGGCCCAAGACAUCCCCCCUCUCAGUGCCCUGAGCCAGCUGCUCCCUUGGACAGGGCCCUGGUCUCCAUUCUGCUUCUGGCUGGGUCACCUUCCCUGGCCAGGUGAGUUCUGACAGUGCCUGCCCCUCCCGGGGCCUCCAAGAAAAGUAUUUUUACAUCUUUCUCCCUUUUUUAUUGACUUAUUAAUAAAGGCUUAUAGUUAUAAAGGGUUGGGCUGUGGUCCAUGGGGGUUGUUUGAGCUCAGCCAUGGCUACUCUGCUGCUCCUUCCAGCCCCUCUGCCUGAGGUCCUGGUUUGUCCCUGUGUAGCUGGCUCUGGCUGGGCUCAUCUGACUCAGUUCUCGCCUCGGGGAGAAUCGAAGCCUUGAGAGGUGAUGUGACUUAGCCAAGGUCACCUGAUUCCCAUCCAAGGCUACCUGCCUCUGAAGCCCAGCCUCUUCCUUCCUUCCUUCCUUCCUUCCUUCCUUCCUUCCUUCCUUCCUUCCUUCCUUCCUUAAUGUUUUUAUUUAUUUUUGAGACAGAGAGAGACAGAGCAUGAGCAGGGGAGGGGCAGAGAGGGGGAGACACAGAAUCUGAAGCAGGCUCCAGGCUCUGAGCUGUCAGCACAGAGUCCGACGUGGGGCUCGAACUCACAGAGUGUGAGAUCAUGACCUGAGCUGAAGUCGGACGCUUAACCAACUGAGCCACCCAGGCGCCCCGAUCUUUCUUCCUUUCUUGCUGUUUUGCAAUAGUCCAGAAGGUUCUGAACAUGGUUAGAGAUUCCCAGACCAUCCCACCUGGAAGUCCGCCAGCCUUCCCUGCCACCCCAAGGUGGGCCCAAAAGCACCUUUCUUCUAGACUGCUGCCUGCUUGCUUUUAGACCAUGCCUGAGUCCUGGAGGUCCCACACAGGAGUCCCUGUUGGCCAAAAAAUCAGUUAGUUCUUGUCACCAGGGCUCUCCUGGAGUAGUGGUAGGAGAGGGGCCAGCCAGAGUGGGGACCUGGGAGUCCACACACUGGGCUUCCCCUGGCCAGAGGGAGAGGAUUGGGGCCUGGAGGCCACCUGGAACCCAGUGUGCCUUCGAAGGCUGCCUUCCUGGGCCAGAGGCUCAGCACAUGUGGGCCCGGGUUUCCUGUCACAGAGGGGCUGCCUCCCUGCUCCACAAGACUGGGAUUCCACUGUGGCCAGAUGGGGCCCUACAGAUGUGCUGGGGAGGUUAUCAGGUACCCUCAGCCCAGACCCGCCCACAUUCAGGAAAGGAAGAAGGGUGUGACUUCGGCGUAUUCAGAGGUUGCAGUGGCUCCCCAGAAAAGCCAGAGCGGGGGCCAGGCCUCUGGCAGUGUGCCCGCCCUACCCCUGGGACCCUGGGAUCAAGGAGCAGAGAGCACAGCCCAGCCUGGUGAGUGAGCGGUCGGGACCCUAGACCAUCUCCUUCCCCUCAGCAUCUGUUUCCUCAUGUGUAUCAAGAUCUAGGAGGCAGCUCCUUCAGGAUCCCUAUUCUUCUUGGCCCUGGGAAGGUGGCAUUGCUUUGUAGUUUGACUUGGGGGGAAAUUGGGGAGUUCUGGCUUCUCUCUGGAGGACCCAUCCUGGGCCCUGGUUCAAGGGAUGUCUUGGGCUGAGUGGGGGCUUUAACACCAGAAUCCUUAGGGCUCCUGACCUGCAGGUAGAGAGCUCCUGGGCCCCAUGUUCAGCUCUGGGGACUCUGUCCAUCUGUCUGCUUAUGAGUCCCUGUGAGUCAUGGACUGAUUUGGAUGUUUCUGUCAUCCCGGCUUUCCAGGUGGCAUCAGACUUUGCCCAGUCCCUCAGACCAGGUCUUAACCUGGCAUUGGUUAGUUCUUGGCGUGCUGCCCACAGGUAGGGGGGCCACCGGCAUGCCCCAGUGGGCUAGUCUGACUUGGACCCAGGCCUAGAGCUUACGUGUGUCUCUUUGCCACAUGUGUGUGAAUCUGUGUGGAGGGGCUUAGCUCCCAGGGCAUUAGAGUCCUUGGGGCUCACUGAGUCAGCUUGGCCUUCAGCAGGUUACAAAUGGGGAGAUCUGCUCUGAGAUUGCCAGGAAGACCAGGACCCACCUGGGGUCAGGGCACGGGGCUUGGGAGGUGACUGGGGCACACUCAGCUGAGAAGGAACAUGACUCUGGACCUCACAUGUGGCUGAUGCUCUGGAUACCAUCAGAUAGACAGGCCUUAAGCUGUCCCAAGCUGAGGUGGGGGCUCCCAGAAUCACCUCUUGGUCCCACCCAGGCCCCUGAAGAGUUCUAGAACAAAGGAAGUCAGUAUGGUCAACCCAGGCCUGGAGUUGAGCUCAGCUUGGGUCAUUCAGAACUGAGGUUGGGGGGUGCUCACUGGCACACAGUCCACAUCCUUGUCCUUCCAACCCUGGGAGCCCCAGUCCACCUGUCCACAUCAGCACAGCCUUCCUGAGCUCAAGGGUCAAGGCCCCAGACUGCAGAGCCUGAGUGCUCAUCCUCAUAAAGGUGGUAGCCUGUGUCUGGGGAAAACCGUACCCACAGUCCCCUGGGGAGUAGGAAGGUGCUCUUAGCCCUCUGACUGUCAGCCCAGUGUCUGGCAUCUGCUGGGAGGAUGUGAACCUAGGUGGGGGCUCUUGGGUGGGUGGGGACGGGAGAUGAGGAAACCUCAGGCGGGGAGAGUCAGUGGCUCAUUUCCACCCUUUCUGAUUUUGCAUGCCCAUGCAGAGGAAAUGAUCUUGUAAGUCCUCUUUGAAGUUAUUUGAGCAGAAACUCAGGGUUUAAAGUCGUCCCUACCCCUGCCAGGCAGGGCUGUAUGGUCCCGUGCUUAUUGCCAAGUUGCUCCAAAGCUUGCUUCUUGGUUUUGUGUAGAAAGGAGAAUACACCCACACCCUCUCGAUGUUCCACCUGGCCCCAAGAUCCCAUCUGGUGGGAAGGAACCAAGCAGGAGGCAGGAGGGCAGCCCCCUCUACAGCCAGCUGACUUUCGUUUUCCAGGAAAGUGUUGAAAUCUGCAGUGGGUGAAAGAAUAUAUUUUGAAUUCACUUAAAAAAAUAUCAUAAAGGAAAAAGUCAGCGUCUUUAAAAUCCAGGCUUCCUAAAAAAAGGAUCACGUGCUUUGGUGUAUUGUGAGUGAUAUAAUUCUGAUUUCCUUGGGGAAAGAUGACCAAGAGAAGGCAUGAGAAAGGCUUCAAGAAAACCUGUUCCUGCCCAGCAGUGAGGUUGGCCUGAACUUCCAGAGGCCUGGCUGCAGGUGCACUAGAUAUGGGAGGGACACAUCUGGAUCCUGUACCGUGGGAGCCACAGGUGACCUUUCCUGGGGAUUCUGCAGAUGGCCACAUCUGUGGUCAUGCAUUCAUCCAUUCACUAAAGAUUUAUUGAGCACCUACUAUAUGACGUGGACUGUGCUGUGCUCUGGAAAGGCAACGAGGAGCCACAACCACAGCACACACCCUCUUGGAAUUUUGUCAGGGGUGGGCAGGGACCAGCCUGGGGUGGAGGAAGUUCAGGGGGGGCUUCCCUGAAGAGGUGAAGCUUGGACUGGACCUUGAUGUCUGGAUGACAGUUCAUUCAGUAGGAGGAGGUUCAGGCAGUGGGAACAGCAUAUGCAAAGGCCAUGAGGUGAGUGCUCUGCUCCCCUGAGGGACUGAGGAAAGUCAGAGAAGGCAGCGGGCUAGAAAGGUAUGGGUGAGGCUGGGGGGUGGGCAGGGCCUGGUGGCUGUGGUAAUAACUUUGGCCUCACCAAACGUCCGCAUGAAUCCAGGGGAGUGUUUUAAACAAGAGGGUGGCACCAGGCUGUAUUGUACAAGUCCCCUGGAGGGACUGCAAUGGCAGUAAAGCCAUUUGGUGGGUGGAUCCAUUUCAUCCCUCCUGACUUUCCUCCCUCUCUGUUAAGACUUCCAGCCACACCUGCUUUUCUCUAAACCAGACCUAUGCAGUCUUGCUUGCAUAUCACCUCAUGCAGUCCUGUCCAUGUGGAAUUUGUAGCAUCUCUCUCCUGCAUUUUUGCCAGUUAAACUGGCAUUCCCCGCCCCCCUCCUCCACCCCAGACCUGUAGAAAUACCGACCUCCUCACCCAAUCACUCCCUGGCUGGUCCUUGACCAAGUGGAUAUCCAUCUUCCCUCUGUGAAAACCAUUUGUUUUCAAGUUUGUUGAGCCAUGUGGCUGCAUGAGUUCUGGGCAAGCCACUGCGUGUAUGGUGUGCUGGCCAAUCGUGUGGACCUAGGACAGCUGCCUGGAGCCCAACUUGCCUUUGCUGCCUCCCACCCGUGUGACCUCCCGUCAAAUAUCUCAUCUCUCAGGCCUCAGUUUCCCCAUCUACAGGAUAGACACAAUGAUCUCUGUGAGGAUGGUUGGGAGAAUUCACAGAGCCAGCCUGUAGGAGGAAGUGCUCAGAACUGGGUGCAGCCCACAGAAGAGCUCCAGAAACGUCUGAUUAUUACCACUGGGCAAAUGGCACGUACCUGGGCACCAAAACAUUUUUGGCAAGAAUGUGAUGUUUCAAAAUAGGCAUUGUAUGUUCCCAGCAUGAGAAAAGUCAGGACUCCAUUGGACUUCGUGAUCCUUGUUUGAUGGUUAAGGUUAUUUUUAUUUACAGUGAUAUCUCAGUGUUUAGAGCCUGUAGGGUUCUAGGCCCUCUGUGUUCAUCUCGCCCAUCCCCUCAUCUCUCAGAGAGGACCCUGGGCUCAGAGGGGAUGGUGAGGGGGGUGGUUGUUCUAGGCCAGCCAGAGAGAAGAUAGCAGGGCAGCGCUCUUAUCUCCUGGUCAUCCCACCUCAGAGUAGAUGCUUGUCCCCUGCCCCCCUCCCCACUGCCGAAGACAGUGAGCCUCCUGAACAGAAGUGAGUUCCUUCUAUCCCUAUCUCUAUGCUGCAUUUCUCUGAAGGUUCAGGCCUCUGGAAGGGGGCUCAGUUACCCAAUUUGGGGGAGCCACUGGACACACAGAGGCUUCCCACACUGUGGACACACCAGGUCCCAGAAGAAUUCUGUGGUACAUCUCAAGCCAAAGGAUCCUCCAGCCCAGGGUGACCUCGCUGGCCUCAUGGGGAGGGCCCUGGUAGAUACUUGCUCACCCCAGGGUUUAUGUAAUGUCGUCUUUCCCAAUCGUCCUCAAAGCCAUGCUAUGACAUAAGCAAAUGUACGCCUCUGUCUGCCCCAGUGGCUGGCGGGUAUUUAUCGAGCACUUGCUAUGAGCUAGGCAUUUGCACGCAUUAUCCACCAAAUUACCCUCACUGUCCUCUUGAGAUAGCACUUACCACUGCAUUUUUUAAAAAAUAGAGACACAAGAUAUGUAUAUUAUCAACUUUACCAUUUUAAAGUCUAUAAUUCGGUGGGUUUUAGUAUAUUCAGAAGAUUGUACAACCAUCACCACUAUUUAAUUCAAAAACAUUUCAUCACCCCAGAAGAAACCCCAUACCCAUUAGCUGUCACUCCUUAUCCUUAGAUCUCUCCAGGCACUGGGAAGCACUCAGGUGCUUUCUGUCUCUAUGAAUUAACCUAUUCUGGACAUUUCAUAUAAAUGGAAUCAUCCAGCAAUCUUUUGUGACUGGUUUCUUUUACUUAGUAUAAGGUUUUUGAGGCUCAUCCACAUUGUAGCAUGUGUCUGUACUUCAUUCCUUUUGUGGCUGAAUAAUAUUCCAUUGUAUGGAUAUACCACAGCUUAAAAAUCUGUUUUCUGCUGAUGGACAUUUGGAUUGCUUCCACUUUGGGGCUAUUGUGAAUAAACGCUGCUAUAAAUAUUUGUGUGCAA
RNA transcript from Neofelis nebulosa (Clouded leopard), 7032 nucleotides. It is a transcript of the gene named cytosolic arginine sensor for mTORC1 subunit 1, with no coding region annotated. The record is from RefSeq and is a predicted model, not a curated record. NCBI's taxonomy places the organism in Eukaryota, Metazoa, Chordata, Mammalia, Carnivora, Felidae. The transcript is spliced from 10 exons.